UACGGAGGGGAUGCAGCGUUAAUCGGAAUUGACUGGACGUAAAGCGCGCGUAGGCGGUUUGAUAAGUCGGAUUGUGAAAUCCCCGGGCUCAACCUGGGAAUUGCAGUCGAGACUGUCAGACUAGAGUGUGGGAGAGGGUGGUGGGAAUUCCCGGUGUAGCGGUGAAAUGCGUAGAUAUACGGAGGAACAUCAGUGGCGAAGGCGACCGCCU
This 211-nucleotide ribosomal RNA is filed under the name uncultured bacterium. RNAcentral describes it as "partial 16S ribosomal RNA". It matches the Rfam family "Bacterial small subunit ribosomal RNA", at positions 524 to 730 of the family's 1533-position model. The record is from RNAcentral.